CUAAAGUUCUCCAGACACA
This 19-nucleotide transfer RNA is filed under the name Allobates gasconi. RNAcentral describes it as "partial tRNA-Phe". The record is from RNAcentral. Lineage: Eukaryota; Metazoa; Chordata; Amphibia; Anura; Aromobatidae.